This 820-nucleotide ribosomal RNA is filed under the name Streptomyces sp. A18. RNAcentral describes it as "bacterial SSU rRNA". It matches the Rfam family "Bacterial small subunit ribosomal RNA", at positions 235 to 1079 of the family's 1533-position model. Lineage: Bacteria; Bacillati; Actinomycetota; Actinomycetes; Kitasatosporales; Streptomycetaceae. The record is from RNAcentral.
GGCCUUCACUAUUGGGAGUAACGGUCCCCAAGGGGAGCGGUAACCGCCUGAGAGGCGACCCGCCCCACUGGGUUGAGACCCGCCCCAGACUUCUACGGGGGGCAGCGUGGGGGAAUAUGCACAAUGGGCGAAAAGCCCUGAUGCAGGGACGCCGCGUGAGGGAUGACGGCCUUUGGGGUUGUAAACCUCUUUCAGCAGGGAAGAAGCGAAAGUGACGGUACCUGCAGAAGAAGCGCCGGCUAAAUACGUGCCAGCAGCCGCGGUAAUACGUAGGGCGCAAGCGUUGUCCGGAAUUAUUGGGCGUAAAGAGCUCGUAGGCGGCCUGUCACGUCGGAUGUGAAAGCCCGGGGCUUAACCCCGGGUCUGCAUUCGAUACGGGCAGGCUAGAGUUCGGUAGGGGAGAUCGGAAUUCCUGGUGUAGCGGUGAAAUGCGCAGAUAUCAGGAGGAACACCGGUGGCGAAGGCGGAUCUUUGGGCCGAUACUGACGCUGAGGAGCGAAAGCGUGGGGAGCGAACAGGAUUAGAUACCCUGGUAGUCCACGCCGUAAACGUUGGGAACUAGGUGUGGGCGACAUUCCACGUCGUCCGUGCCGCAGCUAACGCAUUAAGUUCCCCGCCUGGGGAGUACGGCCGCAAGGCUAAAACUCAAAGGAAUUGACGGGGGCCCGCACAAGCGGCGGAGCAUGUGGCUUAAUUCGACGCAACGCGAAGAACCUUACCAAGGCUUGACAUACACCGGAAACACCCAGAGAUGGGUGCCCCCUUGUGGUCGGUGUACAGGUGGUGCAUGGCUGUCGUUUGGCUCGUGUCCCUUUUCCGG